RNAcentral lists this ribosomal RNA (417 nucleotides) under uncultured Streptomyces sp. RNAcentral describes it as "partial 16S ribosomal RNA". Lineage: Bacteria; Bacillati; Actinomycetota; Actinomycetes; Kitasatosporales; Streptomycetaceae. The record is from RNAcentral.
UACGAGCUCUUUACGCCCAAUAAUUCCGGACAACGCUCGCACCCUACGUAUUACCGCGGCUGSUGGCACGUAGUUAGCCGGUGCUUCUUCUGCAGGUACCGUCACUUUCGCAUCUUCCCUGCUGAAAGAGGUUUACAACCCGAAGGCCGUCAUCCCUCACGCGGCGUCGCUGCAUCAGGCUUUCGCCCAUUGUGCAAUAUUCCCCACUGCUGCCUCCCGUAGGAGUCUGGGCCGUGUCUCAGUCCCAGUGUGGCCGGUCGCCCUCUCAGGCCGGCUACCCGUCGUCGCCUUGGUAGGCCAUCACCCCACCAACAAGCUGAUAGGCCGCGGGCUCAUCCUGCACCGCCGGAGCUUUCCACCACCAGACCAUGCGGUCGGUAGUCGUAUCCGGUAUUAGACCCCGUUUCCAGGGCUUGU